Molecule: long non-coding RNA, 377 nt
Organism: Zonotrichia leucophrys gambelii
Lineage: Eukaryota; Metazoa; Chordata; Aves; Passeriformes; Passerellidae
Exons: 3
Source: RefSeq, a predicted model, not a curated record
CUCGGGCACCCCCCGGCCCCUUACCGAAGCGGCUGUGGUCCUGCCGGGUGCCCUGCACCGUGCCGUUGGGGAAGAUCUCCAGGUGGAAGCCGGUGCGGCAGUAGAGCUGCCGCCGCCGCAGGAUGCCCUUGAGCACCACUUCCAGGCCACAGACCCUGUUUGGGCUGGAUACUGAGUUAAGAAGCCUGUGACAAACCUGAGUGCUUGACCUGAGGAAUCUCACUGCUCUGCCUUGUGGAAGGAUUCCUACUGGAAGGCAACAGAAUCUCCAUCAAGAGCUCGUGACCUGUGUGUGCAGGUGAUUGACAGCAGCCAUGAUUGCCAAACAAACUAGAGAAGAGAUGAAGACAUGACUUGUUCUGAGGAUGUAAAAUGGG